Long non-coding RNA from Panicum virgatum (switchgrass), 899 nucleotides. RefSeq lists it as uncharacterized. The transcript has 2 exons. Lineage: Eukaryota; Viridiplantae; Streptophyta; Magnoliopsida; Poales; Poaceae. The record is from RefSeq and is a predicted model, not a curated record.
UAAACAAAUCUAUUUUUAUGCCAAUAGAGAACGUGCUAUCAUGGUAGCAUUAUGUCCUAGCCUUCUCCAAGUAAACUAUGUUAGCAUUGUGUCAAAUCUUAGUUAAUUGAAGAUAGAAGCCUUCUCCAAGUAAAUUACGUUUAAGAUUAACAUUCUUAACCACUCCGGCAAUCUGUACUUCUCACUUAUAUUUGGUGCUAAUUUAUAUCGAUGUUGUUGACCACACAGAUUAUAUCAAACACCAUAGUUUCUAGGCCACCACCUGCAGAUACACAUCCAUUGGCUCAGGUGACUAGUGGAUUAAGUGGGAAGCCUUUAUUUGACUUAUCUACUAACAUUCUCAGGGAGAUGUAUAUCCUUACACGUGGAUGUGUGUCUAUUGCUUUCAUGGAACUAUAUCUAUUUGACUAUUUGUUUAAGCUUCUUUUCACUAAUAAUAGUGCUUCAAUUAUUCUUUGCCUUUACCUUCUAUUUAAACUAUUCUUUGCUUCUAACUAAUAUAGUUUUCCCACAAAUCUUUAGCUCACUUGAUGAUAACUAAAAAGAGUGUCUAUCGCAGGGUGCUGUUGACGUCCUCUAACUUCUUUUGCAAGCAUUCAGUCUAUUGCAGGGUGCAUCUGCUUAUUGACGAGAAGAUUCAUUGGAUGUAUGUGGACAUGUCAAAAGGAGGACCAUUGCAUGUGUCAGGACAAUGAUAUAAUUUGUCUACUUGUUCGGAUCAUAAGAUGAACUCAUGUAUUUGUCUGUUUUUGUUGUAUUUUUGUUGAAAUAGCCUUUAUAUUGUUAUGAUCGAUACAGUAGGCUUGAGUAUUGGAUGAUUGGUACUGUAUAUUUCUUUAAAAAUAAGCUUUGUAUAUUGUUUUGGGUUGCAAUGGUAAUUUUGGAAAUGGUCUGAAAUA